Molecule: ribosomal RNA, 622 nt
Filed under: uncultured bacterium
Lineage: Bacteria
Description: bacterial SSU rRNA
Rfam family: Bacterial small subunit ribosomal RNA
Source: RNAcentral
GAUGAACGCUAGCGGCAGGCCUAACACAUGCAAGUCGCGGGGUAACAUGGGGUGCUUGCACUCUGAUGACGACCGGCGCACGGGUGCGCAACGCGUAUAGAACCUACCCUGUACAGGGGGAUAGCCCGGAGAAAUCCGGAUUAAUACCCCGUAGUAAUAUAGAAUGGCAUCGUUUUAUAUUUAUAGCUUUCGGGCGGUACGGGAUGGCUAUGCGUCCUAUUAGUUAGAUGGUGAGGUAACGGCUCACCAUGGCAUCGAUAGGUAGGGGCCCUGAGAGGGGGAUCCCCCACACUGGUACUGAGACACGGACCAGACUCCUACGGGAGGCAGCAGUGAGGAAUAUUGGACAAUGGGCGGAAGCCUGAUCCAGCCAUGCCGCGUGCAGGAAGACGGCCCUAUGGGUUGUAAACUGCUUUUAUACGGGAAGAAUAAUCACGACGUGUCGUGGGAUGACGGUACCGUAAGAAUAAGGACCGGCUAACUCCGUGCCAGCAGCCGCGGUAAUACGGAGGGUCCGAGCGUUAUCCGGAAUUAUUGGGUUUAAAGGGUCCGCAGGCGGGCUUAUAAGUCAGGGGUGAAAUGGUGCGGCUCAACCGUAGCACUGCCCUUGAUACUGUUAGUC